RNAcentral lists this long non-coding RNA (1762 nucleotides) under Panax ginseng (ginseng). Its description in RNAcentral is "long non-coding RNA (PGIN_LNC010605)". The record is from RNAcentral. Lineage: Eukaryota; Viridiplantae; Streptophyta; Magnoliopsida; Apiales; Araliaceae.
UGAUGGGAUUUCUUAUAACGAGUAUAGAUGUCAAAUUACAAAAUUAAGCUCAAUCCACAACAGAAUAAUGUACCAGGACUACAAAGAGCUCCUCAAUACAAAUUUUAAUUGAGAACAAAAUAUUACUUGCAACAAUAAAAUAAGUAGUUGAUCACACUUUUUAGCUGCAGGAACUUCAGUCUUGUAAGGACAAUUCUUGGUCACUUUUUGAUAGAUCACACUUUCUAGCUGCAGCAACUUCAGUCACUUUAGGUUACUGUACAUCAAUAAAGGCAGUAGAUAUCCUUUAAUAGCAAAUUUAAACUAUAUUGCCAUCAAAGACACAGAAGAGAAAGGAAAGAUGCUUAUGUCAUAAGCCACAAGAACUAUAAAGUGCAUUUCAACAUCUAGAUACAACUAACAAUCUUGAAAUAAUCAAACUUUUGCAGCUCAAAACUCAUAUUUCGAACGGCAGACUCAAUAACACAAAGCGAAUAACUUUCUACAACAGGACCAUGAAAAAAAAAUGAAACUAUGAAUUUUAGCAAAUCCUGUCAAAGAGAUAUGGCAUAGACUUGAAUGCAAGGAAAAGCCUCCCAGAUCUUAACCAUACUGGUUUGAUUUCCUCUGUGUAAUUCCAAAAAGCAGUUCCCAAAAAAUAACAAAAAAUCAUAAAAAUGACAUAUUUUGGGUCCUAAAAUCAGUGUCAUUCCCAACAUCACAAUAAUUCUUGUCCCUAAAAGAUUGAAGCACAAUCUUUAUAAAUUAUAAGUAUCAAACACACAAGAAAAUAACCACUAAUAACUCAACAUACCCAUAAUAACAAUGACCAUAACCACUAAUAUAACAAAAAAAAAAGUCUGACUAUUUCCCCCUGAUAACAAUGACCAUAUUAGCACCACGUUCAGAAAAUAAAAUAAAUUAUUCAAGUAAAAACUGUAGAAAUUGCACUUCUUAUAAGUUACAACAUUAAAUCUUUGGAAGUAACUUACGUAGAGGAGGGGGCAAGGAGAGGGAGAGAUUGCUAGUAAAGUUCACAUAAAACUAGUAGGGAAUCUAUCCUUGCAUGAAGAGAAGUUCACAUAAAACUUAAAAGGUACAAGGUUAAUGAACAAGUCCUACUGUAAGGGGAAAACAAUAGAAUCUUAAAGUUAUGAAAAAAUAAAUUUUCUCAUGACUAGUGUGUUUUGAUUAUAUGAACAACCAUAACAGUAAAAAAUUUAAUCAAAAGAGAUACAUAAAUUGUAAAAUAGACAUUCAGACAACAUAUAUAAACAAUAAAAACAAGUAAAUAAGAUCAAUUUUCAUUUACCCAACAACUCAAGUAAAUCAAACCAUCAUAACUUUCACAUUUACUUAAUUUACAGCACAAAAUGGGUACCUCGUCUUCUUCUUAGACAGAAUCUACAGCACAAAAUGGUUUAUUAGACAGAAUCUACAGCACAAAAUGGGUACCUCGUCUUCUUCUUCAGGAUACCUCGUCUUCUUAGAACCAAACUGAAAACCCUAGUUGCUUCUAUGAUGGACCAAUCUUAGAACCAAACUGAAACAAAAUAGAAAGAGGCUUUGAGAGAAUCGGGGAAAGGGGUUUUCAUAGAUUGAGAGAGAAUCGGAAGAUUGGGGAUGGGUUUGAUGUGAGAGAAUCGGAAGAUUGGGGAUGGGUUUGAGAGAAUCGAAGAUGAGUUUGAGAGAAGCCACACGGUCUCAAUUGGAAGGGAUGGAGAGAAGCGAAUUUCAAUUGGAGAGAAGCGAAUUUCACAUCGGACUCUAUUUUAUGACCGCU